AACAUCCAAUUCGAGGGAACUCCUUAAUUUUUGUGUUGUUUCUCAAAUGUAAGAGUAUGUGUUUGAAUGGGUGAAUGAGAAGCAUUAAGUUUUCGAACUUCACUGCACUUUAUUAUUUAUUCCGUUCAUUUCACUUACUUGUAGUUAGUCAGUGUUAAGAUAUAUUACAUGGAAAAGAUGACGCGCUGUGGCGACUCCUAAAAGGAAAAGCCGAAAGUAAAUGAAAAUUAAGGGAAAGAUACAGUAUGACACAUCCAAUAUGGUGGAUGCGCUUUACGUAUUACAAUAACUGACCAAGUUGCUGGGGCUGGGGUCGAAUUCUAUACUGAACGUUCUAAACUGUGGUUGACAGAACCUGCCCCCAAAUCUGCUCUAAGGGGCUGAGUCGACGUCCAGGCAAAGACCGUGGCCACGGCACUUGAGACCCUUUCCGGGACUGGGCCUCGGCUUUGCGUCUGGAGGAUGAGGGUUGACGAGAAGCUGAAGGAAGUAAAGGCAUCUCUGAGCUGGAGCCAAUCCCAGCUAACUUCGGGCAGCAGCAGACUACAGCCCAAACUGGUUAGCCAGCCAGUCGCAGUGCAGAUAUCGACACCAUCACUGAUAGGGAAUUGAUCCCACGCUGCCUUCACUCAGAAUGUCCCUCGGAGGGAAACCCAAACUACAAUGUGGCCCCCAAGACAAAUGAGUUUGACCCCCCGCACUACACCAUCAGAAAAAAAUUUUUACCCGAACACUGGCAUAGAGUGAGCAAGAGCUGAAUGACAUGGGCAAAAUAGCAGAAAGAAACACGUGGAUACACCUUACACACUGUAAAAGGUAAUCUCAGCUGAGUCAACCAAAGGGAAAGGUGAGCAAAGUCCAGUGUACGGUGGUUGCGGAUUUAUAGUAUCUGAAAAUACCUGAAGGCUGGUGAAGAUUUAAAAGACACUUGACUCAUUUAGGGGUGACUUGAUCGACAUGACUUCAAAAUGACUAAAUAAUAUGACAGCAUGUUGGGCUGCAACAUUGACAGCCGUAAUGAUAUUUUUGUUCAUAUGCUUCUUUUGGACACCUGUAAAGCUGACAAAAAUACAUAACAACAGAAUCUAUAAUUGUACUCAGUCAACUAUGUCUACCACACAUAAGAUAAAGAGGUGAAACCUCAUUUCAAAUAAUAUUGGUAAACAACUAUGCAGGAGUCACCAAGGCAUGAAGGGAGGACUCUGUGUGUGCCUCCCAAUGAAUCAGUUAAGCACUUUUUCAAUUGACCCCUCCGUACAGGGCACUUAACCACGCCUCCUGAAGUUACGUCACCCCACGUGUGCUAACCUCAGACAAACAAUUAGCAAAAAUGGCGGCGCAGGAAGAAAAGACUAGAGCGAAAUUGUCCGAUUUACCAGCUGAUUUCUCACUCACAUUCUUAGCGAAUAGUGAAAUAUCAUUGAAAAGCAGAAAGCAGGGCUUCAAAUAUUUCAGCGAGGGGUAUUUCAAUGGUAUUUACAUGCAUAUCGACGGAGAAACCAUUGAUAUUAGCGCGAGAUCUUUCCGGAGUCAGAGGAAGACCGAGAAGCCACGUAAUAUAAUAUAUUAUGACCCAAAGACAAAUUCGUCAUUGACAGUUUCCUAUUUUCGUGUUACAUAUCACACUUGGGUGCAGAAUCUGUAUGUGUAUCUGUAUAGCCGUUUGUGAACCGCCGUAUGAAGGAAAAGAAGGCGAGGCUUGAUUUACGAGUUAUUUCUCUCGUUUUCUUUGUGUAACGUCACGCGCUCCCCUCAAUAAUUAUUCUUGAAUUAGUGCCGAACCUACGUAAGUCCCGACCAAGUACGACAAUCACUACUUUAUAGUAUCCUCAAACAUCCUUCCUUCAGUCUUUGUGUCUCGGUGCACGUCGAAGGCUUUUAGGACUCGCUAGUCCGGUUUCGCUUAGCUCGGGAGCCGCCGAACAGAGACACGUUUGUGCAGUCAGAUCAUCGCAAAAUAUCGCUCAACACAGAUCAAGUGUGUCAAUCAUUCACAGUUAGCUAUGUUAUGCAAGCAAAGAACUGCUAAUUCAUUUAUAUAAGACAUGUAUUGGAAAUCAAAUAUACGGCAUACCUUCGUGCAAACACAGUCCGGUUUACAGUAGCCGCGUAGGCGCGAACAAAUGGACACGUUUGUGCAGUCAGAUCAUCGCAAAAUAUUGCUCAACACAGAUCAAGUGUGUCAAUCAUUCACAUGUAGCUAUAUUAUGCAAGCAAAGAGCUGCUAAUUCAUUUAUAUGAGACAUGUAUUGAAAAUCAAAUAUAGGGCAUACCUUCGCGCAAACAUAGUCCGGUUUACCAUAGCUCGGUAGCCGGCAACAAAGAGACACGUUUGUGCAGUCAGAUCAUCGCAAAAUAUCGGUCAACACAGAUCAAGUGUGUCAAUCAUUCACAGUUAGCUAUGUUAUGCAAGCGAAGAACUGCUAAUUCAUUUAUAUGAGACAUGUAUUGAAAAUCAAAAAUAGGGCUUACCUUUGUGCAAACAUAUCUGUUCCGGUUGAUUUUAGAUGGAUUCAGUUGAUCAUACGAUCUUCCAUAAAGUUUGAUCCAUCGAAGACAUUUUUCGUACUCGGUCUUCUGUUCCGGUUGAUAUUAGAUGGAUUCAGUUGAUGAUGCAGUCUUCCACAAAGUUUGAUCCAUCGAAGACAUUUUUUGUACUCGGUCUUCGGUUUUGGAAAGGGUACGAAUUGAACUCCACCAACUAGCCUUUCAGGAUACCUGUCGUCACUAUUACAAAGUCCAUGACAACACCUCUUAACCAUAUCUAUUGUUAAAGAACCCAAAUACGCGAUAAAACGCUAACAAAAGCUAUACUGGACCACGCAACGUUGUCUGAGGGAAUGGCGGGUGCAAAAAGGGGCGUGGUUUAUGCAGAUCUCUGGCCUCUGAUUGGUCAGCGACGUCAAUUCCUUGGCAGUCUAAUUGCUGGGGAUUCCAUCUAUGGGCUUAUGCUAAAGGAAACACCCAUUUUCUUCUCACCUUUUGCCAAUUUAAUGCUAACUUAAACCCGAAAGCCAUACAAAAGAGUCCGUAUACUAUGGAGGUAGUUGAAGUAUUUUAACUGAAAAAGCGUGAGGAACAUUUCAUUAUUUUUUUUUACAUAAGGGAAACAACUGGUUGUUAUUAAUGGAGAUUGCAGCUAACAGGGUAAACUAUAGUUGCAUCACGUGCAUGGGCCCUAGGUCACUAAUAUGUGUCAUUCCAACAGAAAUCCCAACACAAUGUACCCUGGAGGUAAUGACGAAAACAACUCCUAACACCACUUGUCAAAAAUGGAAUAGUGUUCAUCCAACAACUAAGGCAGUAAAUGAUAAAUUUAUAUUUUUUACUAAUAUUGCAUUGGCUAAUUUCUCCUGUGUUAGCUUUACAGGGACAGGUGUUAAGGUGGGAAUUCUGAACAAAACAUGCUGUCAUGAUAUCCAUCUGCAAAGUGCCCCACUGCUCCCAUGCAGCGAUGUGUGGUGGUGGUGUGUUGGUCAAAAGUUGUAUGACACACUGAUAAAUGCAGCAGGAAUGUGUGUGCACUGGUAUCACUGUUCUUAUCUGUGACUGUGUUUCCAUCCAAAGCAGAGGAUAUACAAUUGGCCGCAUCCAUCAUUGGACUUCCCCUUGGGUUCUCCCGAAGGCGAAGGUCCUCUUGGAAAGAUGGAGAUCCGACAUACAUUGAUGCAAAUGGCAUACCAACUGCGUACUAGUUGAGUAUAAGUUGGUUAACGAGAUUGCUUCAGGAUGGGAAUCCAUCUUGUUAUGGAUAACUCUGAAUAAAAACGUUGACAGAAUCAACUACAUACAUUACAAUGUACAAAAACUAGUUAAUUAUACAAAAGCAGGCUUUAUUGCCAUAAGAGAACAAGCAGCUGCAACCUCACUCAUGACUUUCCAGAACCGCAUAGCAGUUGACAUGCUCCUGGCCGAGAAGGGUGGCGAUUGCUCAAUGUUCAGUGACCAGUGUUGUUUAUUCCAAAUAUCACAGCACCUGAUGGGUCACUCACAAGGGCCAUUCGAGGCUUCCGCACCCUGAACCACAAGAUGAAGGAGCACUCUGGUGUAAAUACAUCAUUCUGGUCUGAGCGGUGGGAAAAAAAAAAAGUUUGGCAAAUCUAAAAAUUUGGUGUUCUCUGUCCUAGUUUCUAUAGCUGUUUGUGGCUAUUCUUGCAUUGUGUGGAAGUUGUUUCAUUCCCUGCAUAAAGGCAUCACUUCACCAACUUAUAACCCGACAAAUUCUAAAUUGGCAGAAAUAUAUCCACUAUUGGCACAACGGGGUAAAGACAGUGAUAUUGUUGACCACGAUCAUGACGUUAUGACUUCUCUUCCAGACCUGUUCUCUGAUCCAGAAGAUUAAUUAGUACUAUAUUUUCCUCCGAGUUCUAUGUUUGUUUUCCUAAAUAUGACUGUAGAAUAAAACCGAAAUGAUGAUCUAUUAGAUGAUGUGAGUAUUUGAGCACAUGUAGGAUAAACAGGAGGAUAAUGUAGAAAUAAUUGUCAAUAUAAUUAACUGUUUCUGCCUGCAAUGAAGAAAUUCUUUGCUCUGCUCCAAUUCAGUUCCUGUUCCUGCCUGCAAUGAAGAAAUGCUUUGCUCUGCUCCAAUUCAGUUGCUGUUCCUGCCUGCAAUGAAUGUUUGCUCUGCUCUAGAAAACGUGGUAGCAAAUGUAGGAUAAAAAGGGGGAAAUGUAGGAAUAAUUGUGAUCAGAAUUAUCAUACAUCUGCUUUCAAUAAAGAAAUGCUUUGCUCUGCUCUAGACAACGUGACAGCCUCCUAGCAGGAGAUAGCAAGAACAAAAACAUCUAAUCAUCAGAACUGUUAGAACUGCUGCUGCCUGUUAAAGAAAUGAUGACCACAGAUGUAUUCAUCAAUCUUCAACACAAACACCACAACAAACAUGUACACCUUGUUUCCAACUGUUUUUCUUGCUGACUCCUUUUUGUAACAUCCAUGUAAAUAAGGGGCGUCUUAAAACUAAAUAAAUAGCGGUGCUGAGGAGAGGAUAAUCAGAGAGCGGAGUGGUGAAUUGUACAAGACAGUUCCUCUCCUCUCUCCUCGCGAGACUUGAACUGGUGUCUUUGCUUCCUUUUUUGUCCUGUUUAAUGAAUGUCUUGAUUGGUGAACCUGACAUGACCACAAGUAUUUGAAGUCCUCCACCCUCCCUAUCUCCUCUCCCUGUAUGUAGCCUCACACUUCCCCCGCCACUCCUCUCAUUAAUGCACAUACAGUGCCUUGUGAAAGUAUUCGGCCCCCUUGAAAAAAUAAAGAUAUAACAUUUUUUUUUAAAAAAUGUCAAAAAUCAACAAGUGGGACACGAUCCCGAAGUGGAAUGAAAUUUAUUGGACAUUUUUUAAACUUUUAUUAACAACUAAAAAACUGAAAAGUGGAGCGUGCAAUAUUAUUCGGCCCCCUUGCAUUAAUACUUUGUUCCGCCACCUUUUGUUGCAAUUACAGCUGUGAGUUGCUUUGGGUAUGUCUCCUAUCAGUUUUGCACAUCGAGAGACUGAAAUUAUUCCCUAUUCUUCCUUGUAAAACAUCUCAAGCUGGAUGAAGAGUGUUUGUGAACAGCAGUCUAGAACUCUGCCCACAGAUUCUCGAUUGGAUUCAGCUCUUGACUUUCACUUGGCCAUUCUAACACCUGGAUACGUUUAUUUGUGAACCAUUCCAUUGUAGAUGUGGCUUUAUGUUUUUGAUCAUUGUCCUGUUGGAAGAUUAAUCUCCGUCCCAGUCUCAGGUCUUUUGCAGACUCCAACAGAUUUUCUUCCAGAUUGUUCCUAUAUUUGACUCCAUUCAUCUUCCCAUCAAUUUUAACCAUCUUCCCUGUGCCCACUGAAGAAAAGCAGGCCCAAACCGUGAGGCUGCCCCCACCAUGUUUGACAGUGUGGAUGGCUUGAUCAUGGCGAUGAGCUCUGUUGCUUUUACGCCAAACAUAUCUUUUUGCAUUGUGGCCAAAAAGUUCGAUUUUGGUUUCAUCUGACCAGAGCACCUUCUUCCACAUAUUUGGUGUGUCUCCCAGGUGGCUUGUGGCAAACUUUAAACAAGUCUUUUUAUGGAUUUUUUUUUUUUUUUUUAGAAAUUGCUUUCUUCUUGCCACUCUUCCAUCAUGGUCAGAUUUGUACAGUGGAUGACUGAUUGUUUUUGUUGUGUAUGACUCUCCAACAUCAUCUGUAGAUCUCUGUAGUUCAGCCAGAGUGAUUAUUGGCCUCUUGGCUGCAUCUCUGAUCAGUCUUCUCCUUGUUCGAAGUGAAAGUUUAGAGGGACGGCUGGGUCUUGGUAGAUUUAUAGUGGUCUGAUACCACUUGUAUUUCAAUAUCAUUGCUUGCACAGUGCUCCUUGAGAUGUUUAAAGCGUGGGAAAUCUUUUUGUAUCCAAAUCCAGCUUUAAACCUAUCCAUAACAGUAUCUCAGGACCUGCCUGGUGUGUUCUUUGGUCUUCAUGAUGCUCGCUGCACUUUAAACAGAACACUCAGACUAUCACAGAGCAGGUGCAUUUAUCCAGAGACUUGAUUACACACAGGUGGAUUCUAUUCAUAAUCACCAGUCCGCACUCGAUCAUUCAGAGAUCCUCACUAAACUCCUGGAGCGAGUUUGUUACACUGAAAGUAAAAAAGCCGAAUAAUAUUGCAAGCCCCAUUUUUCAUUUUUUUAUUUGUUAAAAAAGUAUAAAAUAUUCAAUAAAUUGUGUUCGUCAUCACGAUUGUGUCUCAGUUGCUGUUGAUUCAUGACAAAAAAAAUUAUUUUAUAUCUUUAUGUUUGAAGCCUGAAAUAUGGUGAAAGGUUGAAAAGUUCAAGGGGGACGAGUACUUUCACAAGGCCCUUAAAAAUGGAAACUAGCCCACUUUUCCUUCAUUCUUCAGAUCUCUCUUCACCCACUUGUAUUCUGUUGAAUCAGUUGGUUAAAAACUCCACACCCACCUCUCCAAUUUGCUUCCAUACCUCCACAGAUAAGUCAUCAGGAGCAACUGCCUUUCUAUUUUUCAUCUUCGUUUCUGCCUUUCUAACUUCCCCCUUACUAAUCAUUGCCUACAUCACACUUGCCUCUGCAACUCUUCCUGCUCUUAAUUUUUUUUAUCAAGUUCUCAAAGUAUUCUUACCAUCUCUUAAGCACAAUACUGGCAGCAGUCAACGCAUUUUCAUCUCUAUCCUUAAUCACCCUUACCUUUUGCACAUCCGUCCCAAAUCUAUCCCUCUGUUCGGCCAACCUGGAGAGAUCCUUUUCCCCUUUUUUCCUGUCCAACCUGGUGUACAUGUCAUCAUAAGCCUCUUGUUUGGCCUUAGUCAUCUCUAUCCUUGCCCUAUGUCGCAUCUCAAUGUAUUCCUUUUACCUCUCCUUAGUCCUCACAGUGUCCCACUUCUUUGCUAGCUUCUUUCCUUGUAUGACUUGUAUUUGAUGUGUAUUUUGGGGUUCCACCACCAGGUCCUCUUUUGCACUUUCUUACCAGAAAACACACCAAAGGACUUUUCUGUCUGUCCCUCUGAUCACCCUGGCUGUAGUAGUACAGUCUUCUGGGACCUCCUCCUGUCCAUCAAGAGCCUGUCUCCCCUCUUUCCGAAAGGCCACACAAAAUUCUUCCUUUCUCAGCUUCCACCAUAUGGUUCUCUGCGCCACCUUUGUCUUCUUAAUCUUCCUACUCACCAUCAGAGUCAUCCUACACACCAAAAUUCUAUGCCAUUGAGCUCAACUCUCCCUUACCACUACCUUACAGCCAGUCACCUCCUUCAGAUUACAUUGUCUGCACAAAAUGUAAUCAACCUGCGUGCUUCUACCUCCACUCUUGUAAGUCACCCUAUGUUCCUGCCUCUUCUGAAAGACUGUGCAGGUUGGUACAUGUUAAGAUGUUAGAACAGAUGUUUGCAUGUUAUAAUUGGGAUGUCAAUGUUGAUGACAAACCAUCAACUUUGUUUCACAUCGAUGAUCUGAUAGACAACCAAGACAGCCCAAUUAUCGUCUUUGUGGUUGCCACUUCAAAGAUGGCUUGACGGAGAAUGACCCAGCUCGCAACCACAGAAAAUGGAUGGACUUCGCGGAUCCAGAAAAGAGCAGCGAGGAAGACCAAAGAAAAUGUUGAUGGAUGUUGUGAGGGAGGACAUGAGCACAGUGGGUGUUGGAGAGGAGGAUGCACGAGAUGGGCUUAAAUGGAAAAAGUUGACACGCUGUGGCGACCCCUAAUGGGACAAGCCAAAAGAAAACAAAGAAGAAGACGAAUGAACAAAUGAUAAAAGUUCUCUGCAGAAAGAGAAAGAAGUGCAAUGAGGAGCAAUUGGAGACAUUUGUCAAUGAGAUGGCAAUGAAUAGUCCGCAGCUGGGAGAUGAACAUGUCCAAACAGCUGAUUGUCAUGCUCCUGGAUUCCAGCCAGGGCUUGGCGUGGCCAGCUAAUCAGAAGGUGCACACCUGCGCCUCAUGACCACUGAUUAGACCCAGUACAUAUAGGACCCGGGGGACGACAAAUACUCCGCUAGAUUGUUGCUCUUCAUGCCUCGUUCCCGCACUCCUGCUUUCCACUGACCACCCUCGUAAGCCCAUUUGUUCUGGUACUUCGGAUUGUUUGGACUGUCUACCUGAUCUCAGACCUCGGACCGAAUAAAGGUUUCCUCUGUACUGUCUGCUGUCUCUGGAGUCGUGCAUUUGGGUCCACCCUUGAGCCCCGCAUCGUGACACUGAUGAUGAUCCACAUGAAGAUAACAGCUUGCUUGUCUAGAAGUAUGGAGCUGAUGAUGAAACUAAAAGAAGUAAAACCACAUCUGAAAAAUGUUGAGGACCUCUUGCUAGAAUGUGAAAACCGCGAAACCCAUGUUUAUUUUCCGACAUAACGGACAGCGAAGAAAAGAUGUGUCUGUAUACUUCGCUGCCCCAUGAUGUCUUCAACAUCUUGUCAAUGAUCCUCCAAAGAUUUGAGCUCAAUUAUUACAGUGGAUGGGGUCUUAAAGCUGAAUCUGAGAGAUGCUGACCUAUAUCAACGGUUCUGUACCAGGAGGGCUACCUUUCCAACAUUAUACACAUACUCAUAACAUGCACUUUUUCAAUGUUGUUUAAGGGAGUUGUUAACCAGAGACUUGCCAGUCAGCUGAAAUGUACGGGGUCUCUCCCGAAAGCUUUGAAAGAGUUUUCCUCUCCCAGAGCUUCCAUGGACGGUGUAGGAAUAACAUAAUCCAUACCACAACACUUACAUGUUCAGUCUGCUGUGUACAGCUCAGAAAAUUAAGGCACACUGUAAAAGCCAUCAAAUGUGUCACUCCAAGUGGCUGUAUAAACUAUUGCUCUUCCUUAUAUCCAGGUUCCUUUUUCAGAGGUUGCCAUUGUAUGACGUAUGAAUAAAUUCCAGGCUGGAGACCUUAUCCUUGGUGAUAAAGGUUUUACGAUACAUUACCAAUUACCAAGUGGUAAACACUUAAAUCUCCCAUCUUUCCUUUCCAACAAGAGCGCAUUACACCACAAGAGGCAGCGGCUUGUUGGUAGAUCGCAAUGGCACGUAUUGUGGAACGUGUAAACGAAAUAAUAAAAAAUUUUUGGGAUACUAGGCCACACAUCUGCACCAUACAGACCAAUCUCUGCCAAAAUCUUUCAGUCAUGUUCAACUGUAGUAAACCAAAGUUGAAAUAAACAUCGGAAGCUGGAAGAAUGUUAACAAUAAAUGUACAAGUAGUUGAGUAUUAAAAGAUGCGUAUGUUAUUGAGCAGAUUAUUGAUUUUACAAUAUAUAUUUAAGUUAAGUUACAUGGUAGAUUUAUUAUUUCACCAUGCAUUUGUUUAUAUCAUCCUUGCCCGAAUCAUUCUUCCGAGCAACCGUGCGACCCGAAGUGUGACCCAGCGACAUCUGUUCCUCCAUUUUUUGGUAAUCUUGUGACCCUUUGUUUUGAGAAACUAAUAAAAAGGGGGACACCGAUAAGGCUGACUCAGAAUGUGGUUUGGAGUUGCAGCUCGUCAGUCAAACCCAUUUCUCCUCAUGAGCCAAAUUGAAGACCUCUCUUCUAUCUGAUGAUUAGACAUUUUUGUUCUUGCUAUCUCCUGCUUGGGGGCUGCCACGUUAUCUAGGGCAGAGCAAAGCAUUUCUUUAUUGGAAGCAAAUGUAUGAUAAUUAUGAUCACAAUUAUUCCUAAAAACAUGAUUAGCAAUAUCGAUGCUUAGGAAGUUAGAAGUAUGCUUCCGUCUUGAUAAAGGCUAAGGAUAUAGCCGAAACAUCCACGUAUGGCACACUUAUAACGUGUUGGCUAACAUACACAGAGUGAUUUCACUGUUAGAAACCUGAUGUAAAGUUUGUAUAUUUUGGAAACAAGUGUAUAUAUAUAUAAAACGAUGGUUGUUCAUGAAGACAAGAACCGUUCUUGGACUCUUUAUUAAGACACCUGGACUGUACAGAAUAGACUUUGUAAAAUAGGCACAACAGGUGCCUUUAAAAAAAGCAUAAAAAGACAUUCCACCGCUUCCCGAACACGAGGAAAACGGGAAGAUGGAGCGGUAUUGGGAGGAUGGCUAGGACUGGGCGGACGCCCGGGACAGGUGGCGCCGCAGGCCUACACGUGGCUUCUGGGGGCGCGAUGGCGUGGCGCAGGGGGGUCGAUGUCCGCAGGCCCGUGCACUAUGCUCUCGUCGGGGGUACUGGGGCGCAUGUCCUGGGGACCCCCCCUUGGGGCUCAAUUCAAAAAACCUAACCAGCCUGUGCCACUCCGCAUCUCCAGCACGCGAACGGCGGCCCCCAGGGACAGCGCAGGAGGUCGUGGUCCUUGCUGACAAGUUCGACCUGACAGAGCCCCAGAUGGAGGUCCUCAGCAAGGGACUCACCUUCGUCCCAGCGCUGGGCGCGGUCAAAGACCGGUGAUCCCUACUCAAAUUGGACAUACAAAAUUAAUACAGGAAAUUGAAAUUGGCCACUCAUUACGAAAACAUAGAAUAGGAGGGAGGCAUGACGGAGCCCCCCCAUGUAGUGCAAGUCGGAUUGGACGCCCCCAUUCGAGGCUCUUCCGCAAUUCAUCCACACACGCAUUCAAUAUUUCUACCUCUCACCACUCGCCACCAAACACGACUCCUACCUCAGAGACACAUACCAAUUUUCAGAGAAAAUCAAAAAGUUUACACACCUUGAUAACAAUGUGCUCUUCUUGAGCAGGGACGUGGACAAUUUACACACCGAUAUCCCCAUCGACGAGGGCCUCCAGUGCGUAAGGAGGAUCUUCCGAAGGCAACCGGACUCGAGGAGGCCGGAUGAGGAGUUAUUGAAACUCCUCGUGAUGAAUUUGGACUCAAAACGAUGUCGUAUUUAACGAACAAUUCCUUACAGAUUGGAGACUGUACUGACCAAGUGCCUCGGCAGACCUUUGGGCUACCUCAGGUACCGAGAUGACAUUCGGGGACUCUGGAUGAUGAGCCGGGACCAAUUCGAACACUUUGUACAGGUACUAAACACACACAACCCUAAAACUUCAUGAUACAUGGGUGGGACCUACUGACGUUUACGGGACUGCAAAAGAAAAUGACGUGGACUGACGUUUGGAGAAAAUGGACAGAAAAAAAAAGUGGAUCAGAGACUGGGGAUGAUAGAACCGUGGGGUCUGAACUCGCACAGGCGGACGCCCCGCUAAUCGGGGCCGGGACAAGCCGGGCGGGAGACGGACAGGGCCGUAGGCCCUAAACACAAGUCGGUCGGUGAAAAGGAGGAGACGCCCCCAAGCACUGGGGGCCCUCAAAGCCCUACUACGAACCUGAACCAAGUUAGUACGCACCACCGCACAUCUUCUAGUAACCUAACCCCAAACCCUUUCUUACCCUAAACAUUAGGAAAACUACACAAACAACCCUACAACCUCACCCAAACCCUCCCCGAACCACAACACAGACCCAGGAGGGAGACU
RNA transcript from Syngnathoides biaculeatus (alligator pipefish), 11828 nucleotides. It is a transcript of the gene named protein O-linked mannose N-acetylglucosaminyltransferase 2 (beta 1,4-), with no coding region annotated. Lineage: Eukaryota; Metazoa; Chordata; Actinopteri; Syngnathiformes; Syngnathidae. The transcript is spliced from 7 exons. The record is from RefSeq and is a predicted model, not a curated record.